GUUAGUGGCGGACGGGUGAGUAACACGUGGGCAACCUGCCUGUAAGUUGGGGAUAACUCCGGGAAACCGGGGCUAAUACCGAAUGAUAAAGUGUGGCGCAUGCCACGCUUUUGAAAGAUGGUUUCGGCUAUCGCUUACAGAUGGGCCCGCGGUGCAUUAGCUAGUUGGUAGGGUAAUGGCCUACCAAGGCAACGAUGCAUAGCCGACCUGAGAGGGUG
Molecule: ribosomal RNA, 218 nt
Filed under: Listeria monocytogenes
Lineage: Bacteria; Bacillati; Bacillota; Bacilli; Caryophanales; Listeriaceae
Description: partial 16S ribosomal RNA
Rfam family: Bacterial small subunit ribosomal RNA
Source: RNAcentral